This 270-nucleotide ribosomal RNA is filed under the name uncultured archaeon. Its description in RNAcentral is "partial 16S ribosomal RNA". It matches the Rfam family "Archaeal small subunit ribosomal RNA", at positions 477 to 747 of the family's 1478-position model. The record is from RNAcentral.
CUGCAGCUCAAGUGGUGACCACUAUUAUUGGGCCUAAAACGUUCGUAGCCGGUUUGGUAAAUGCCUGGGUAAAUCGUGUAGCUUAACUAUACGAAUUCCGGGUAGACUGCCAAACUUGAGACCGGGAGAAGCUAGAGGUACUCCUGGGGUAGAGGUGAAAUUCUGUAAUCCUGGGGGGACCACCAGUGGCGUAGGCGUCUAGCUAGAACGGGUCUGACGGUGAGGAACGAAGCCCUGGGGCGCAAACCGGAUUAGAUACCCGAGUAGUCC